UGCUGCAUGGCUGUCGUCAGCUCGUGUUGUGAAAUGUUGGGUUAAGUCCCGCAACGAGCGCAACCCUUAUCCUUUGUUGCCAGCGAUUCGGUCGGGAACUCAAAGGAGACUGCCGGUGAUAAACCGGAGGAAGGUGGGGAUGACGUCAAGUCAUCAUGGCCCUUACGAGUAGGGCUACACACGUGCUACAAUGGCGUAUACAAAGAGAAGCGACCUCGCGAGAGCAAGCGGAACUCAUAAAGUACGUCGUAGUCCGGAUUGGAGUCUGCAACUCGACUCCAUGAAGUCGGAAUCGCUAGUAAUCGUAGAUCAGAAUGCUACGGUGAAUACGUUCCCGGGCCUUGUACACACCGCCCGUCACACCAUGGGAGUGGGUUGCAAAAGAAGUAGGUAGCUUAACCUUCGGGAGGGCGCUUACCACUUUGUGAUUCAUGACUGGGGUGAAGUCGUAACAAGGUAACCGUAGGGGAACCUGCGGUUGGAUCACCUCCUUA
This 494-nucleotide ribosomal RNA is filed under the name Providencia rettgeri. RNAcentral's name for it is "bacterial SSU rRNA". It matches the Rfam family "Bacterial small subunit ribosomal RNA", at positions 1039 to 1533 of the family's 1533-position model. The record is from RNAcentral. Lineage: Bacteria; Pseudomonadati; Pseudomonadota; Gammaproteobacteria; Enterobacterales; Morganellaceae.